GUCAUCUGACGAGUCCCAAAUAGGACGAAAAGCGCGUCCUUGGAA
Molecule: non-coding RNA, 45 nt
Filed under: Schistosoma mansoni
Lineage: Eukaryota; Metazoa; Platyhelminthes; Trematoda; Strigeidida; Schistosomatidae
Source: RNAcentral